This 268-nucleotide ribosomal RNA is filed under the name uncultured bacterium. Its description in RNAcentral is "partial 16S ribosomal RNA". It matches the Rfam family "Bacterial small subunit ribosomal RNA", at positions 45 to 339 of the family's 1533-position model. The record is from RNAcentral.
AUGCCUAAUACAUGCAAGUCGAACGAGACCUUCGGGUCUAGUGGCGCACGGGUGCGUAACGCGUUGGGAAUCUGCCCUUGGUUCGGAAUAACGUCGGGGAACUGACGCUAAUACCGGAUGAUGACGAAAGUCCAAAGAUUUAUCGCCCAGGGGAUGAGCCCGCGUAGGAUUAGCUAGUUGGUGAGGUAAAGGCUCACCAAGGCUACGAUCCUUAGCUGGUCUGAGAGGAUGAUCAGCCACACUGGUACUGAGACACGGACCAGACUCC